Molecule: ribosomal RNA, 223 nt
Filed under: uncultured bacterium
Lineage: Bacteria
Description: partial 16S ribosomal RNA
Rfam family: Bacterial small subunit ribosomal RNA
Source: RNAcentral
UAACGCGUGGGUAACCUGCCUCACACAGGGGGAUAACAGUUAGAAAUGACUGCUAAUACCGCAUAACCCGAUAGGAUCGCAUGAUCCAGACGGAAAAGAUUUAUCGGUGUGAGAUGGACCCGCGUCUGAUUAGCUAGUUGGUGAGGUAACGGCCCACCAAGGCAACGAUCAGUAGCCGGCCUGAGAGGGUGAACGGCCACAUUGGGACUGAGACACGGCCCAG